AGGGGCUUUACCAUCACGAGAAUUUAGGGCAUCCUUUAUUCAUAAGCAGAGGAACCAUUCAGGGUAUAUUCAAUCUUAAAGUAAAGUUAAUAUGGCCACCAGAUGAUGGCAUUUUCAGACUCUGCUUUUCAUCAUUAGAAGGAAAACAAUAUGUUUUGAGGGAUUUGGUGCUGCCCUUGAAAGAAUGAAUAUCAUGUUGUAAAGAGCAUUAUCUGUGUUGCUUUCAUCUUUAUUUUAAAUAUGGAGGGUCCCCAUCAACAAGGGAGGAUUGAGUUUUGGUUUUUUGUUUUUCAUGGUUCUCUGGGAAGAAUCUUGGGAGGGAGGGAUCUCAUGAGAUCAUUUAUCUAGUAUAAUGGUGUCAGGAAAAGGUAAAGCAUGAAGAACUAGAGAUUGAGUAUGUAGUGGUUCUCACUGAAGGAGUAGUAGAUAUAAAGGGAAAAUCAACUGUUGGCCAAAGAAAAUAUUUGUUCUAAUGGGGUUUCAGUUCUUUAAAGUGAAGAGUAUCAGAGCUAAAAAAAAAAAAAAAAAAGAAAGGCUUCCUUUAGACCUCUCUGAAAACUCCUGCUUGCCAGGAGUUCCCUAUACUUUCUAUAGUGGCAGUCAGACUAUUGGAAGAAUAGUACAAUAGAAGAAUUGUAACUGGGUGGCAAGAGAGAUAGGGUAUCCUUGGGACUGGGUGCUUCUACAUAAUUAUUGGUGAAGAGAGCUAUUAGCUUUUCCCAUUCUACUUGUUAUUUGGUUCAAUACAGUAUAUUGAGGUAGAUGUUCAAUGUUUGUUUAUUCAAUCCAAUACACAGUGACCUACUAUGUGCAAGGCACUGUGCUGAGGAUACAAAACAAAAAUGAGGAAAAAAUUCUUGUCAAUCAGACAGAUGGCCAAAGUGAUAUACUCCUUUGAUGGGGAUAGGGAGGGAGAGAAAGAAAAGUAAAUUCCUUCCUGAGUAUGUUAUCUGUUUUUUCAGUAUGUGUUCUCAAUGUGCCAUGAAAACAAUCUCUGUUCUUGGAGGAAAUCUAAGGGAAAAAAGAGAGAGAAAUGGAAAGAUUAAAAGUUGGCUGCAGGGAAAAGGGAAGAGAAGUGUGGGGUGGAAGACUAUAAAAUACUCAUAAGGACAAACAAUAGACCAAAAACAAACAAACCCCAGCAAUAAUGACUCGGGUAUGGGUAAGGAGGCGUAAUAACUUAUUUCUUUUGCAUUGUGGCAAGUCAAAAUGAAGGCUGGGAAAGAACACAGGAUUUAAAAUCCUAGGGUCUUGGUUUCAAUUCUUCCUCUGCUAGUUGUGACUUUUAUGAACUUGGGAAAAUAACCUCAUUGUGUCUCAGUUUCUUCAUCUAUCCAAAGAUGAAAUUGGACCAGUUGACCCUCUAUAAUUCCUUCCAGCAGGAUCAUCUCCAGUCAUCUUGAUCUAUAUCUUGCCACUGGACCCAGAUGGUUCUGGAAGGGAAAGUGAGACAGGUUAUCUCGCACAGCCCUCCCUCACUCAAAUCUAAUUCACUUGUAUGUCACAGCACCACCUCCUUAAUAUCAUGAUCCUCUUUGAGAACAAAGGACAAACAACAACUUCUGUAUUAUCAUACAUAUACAGCAAAUGGAUAGGACCAAAGUCAUCAUGAUCUCCUAAGUGAAUUAUAACCACUACCUAUACUUAGUUUUUGCUCACCUUUAGGUUUUAUUGUCACAGGCUGGACUUGGUGAAUAGUUGAUUUUUUUUUUUCUUUCUAGCCUGGAGAUAAGAAAAGUGAUAGCAUUUCUUGGAAGCAAAUCAUGGGGAGGGCCAGAUUCAGCCCAUGAAGAGGUAUCCAGGCUUAUUCUUCUCUAGAAGUCCAAUAGUGACACAAAAAGAGAUGCUCAAAGGGAAAGUUGGAGAUUUCACCAGUGUACAUUUUAUUGAAAGCCAAAUAAGCAGCCUAUUAUCAAUCAUCUUCCUGUCACCUCUGGAAAAGUUACUAGGACACAUAGGUCUUGAAAUCCUUAAGUUUCUACUUAUCUCCUUUUCCUGUGCCCCACAAUUCAAAGCAUGUCUCGGUACUUUUUCUCUAUGGCUCUAUUUCUCAAAGGAAAUGGACUUUACAUUUCAUGACAGAAGAGGGCAGGCAAGGGCUUUAUUUUGUUCAUUUUUUCUCAUUUAAAGAAAUAACAGUUUGACAUUGGAACGGCAACAGGAUGGUACUACUUUGCCUUGUGAAAAAACCGCCUAUUCUAUAGUUGUAUAUGUCAAAUAGGUCUCUUUUUUAUACUGACCACACUGAAGCAUGCAAAUCUGCAACUUCUACCCAAUGGUUCUUAGUCUGCCUUCCAACACUACGCAAAAUGUCUAAUCCUCUUUCUGUGAUGAUACUCUUUCAUAUACACUUAAAAACAGUUUUAGUACCUCUACUCCCACCCUCUUACCCUUUUCUUUUCCAAGAAAAACAUCCUUUAUUCCUUUACCAGAAUGCAAAGGACAAAAAGGAAAAACAUGAUUUCUGGUAUUCUCAUCUUCCUGGUUAUUAUCCUUCAGAUUCCCUUCAUCUUGUCAAUGUUACUCUUGGUGAUGGCUCCCAAAAUGGACUAAACAUCAAACUUCAGAUAGGAGGUGGGGAAAUAUAUCAUACUAGGGGGAAGAACACAGUGAGAAUGGCUCCUGGACUCUAUGGAUCCUUUCCUGAAAGUAAAUGAAGAUUAGUUUUUCUAACGUCCUUAAGAAUGAAAGAUCAUUUUACUGGCCUAUAAUUGGAAGAUUUCAUUCAUUUUCUUAAUCAUUUCAAAGACUGAUAUAAGUGGAAUGUGUGUAUAAAUGUAUAGUGAUACUCAACUUUUUUAUCUCUUUCUCUGAGAUUAUAAUUUUUUAGAGAUCCACAAGAGUUGCUUUUGAAGCAUUUGAAGAAUGUUUCUGAAGAUACACAUUUCAUCUGGAGCCUGAAGAUUUAAAUCCCUUGGGUUGUAUAAUGGGGAGCUUGUGGUAGAGGAUGUUUCUGCUCAGCAUUUGUCUUUCAUAUUUUCUCUGUUUUAGCUUCCUUUAUAAAAAUAAUUCUUUUCUGUUAUGGUGUUUGCCUUUUUUUCCAUUAAGCCUAUUAUAAUGAUCAAUCUUUUGGAUUAACUUAGAAGGAAAAACUGUUCACUAGUUCUUUCUUAUGUCAACUGUCAUUUUGCCUAUUUUGACUCUUGGUCUUCUUUCCAUUUCAAUAAUUCAGCAAACAUCAAUUAAGCUACUACAAUGUAGAAGAUACCACACAAGAUUCUGGAGAUAUGAUUAUUUUACUUUUCUGAUCUUCCCUUCAGCAUUGCACCAAAUGCUGCCUGUACCAUCCUGGGUAUCUAUUGUAAGCCUCUGCCUGUUCUGGAGCCAUUAAAGAUCUGGGUUUUUUUCUGAAAGAUUUACCCCUCCUCUUAUGUCCUUGGUUAUACUCCCUACACUGUCCCUCAUCCCUAUCUUCACUGAUGGUUUUGCCUGAAUAAGGUCUUCUUUUAAAAUGUCACGAUUUGGGGAAGAAUGUUUCCUCCAAAGCUGGUACUGCUACAAAACUUGCUCUCUGUUUGUGGUUUGUGGUAUGGAGAGAAAAGGAAAGGAGUUAGCUCCUGCUAAUGGGAUAAAGAGAGGGGUUUGCUAUACAAAGAGAGGGGAUUUUCUGUAUUUGGUUGAAGAGAGGAAAUGAGGAUGAGAAUUGGUAGAGUGGGUAGAGAAGGAUAUGUUUGGAAGGGUUUGAAUAUCCUGUGGAUAUUGUACAGAAAAAAAAACUGCUGCUUUCUGCUACACACACACACACACACACACACACACACACACACACACACAUAUUUACUACUUUUCUGUGAAGAGAGAUUAAAAACAUAUGGCUACUAUGUGAUAUCUCUUCUUAGGGAUUAGGAAAGAGUAUCAAUGUGAGUGUGGUUAAAAAAGAUAGUGAGAAAACAUGAGGUUUGGGAAAUUUUGGAUUAGAAUUGAGACAUAGUUUCCCUUUCCCUCUUUUCUCAAUUAUUAUACAUAUCAGUCCAUUAUAGUGAAACAGAGUAAGAUUGGGAAUAAAUGAAUUAGGUCCUAAAUAGGAGAAGAAUAAAAAUGUACAUUAGCCCCGCCAUCUGAACUAUUGCUUAGGGAUGGCAAAUAGUAAAAAUGACAUGAGAGAAAGAGAACCAUACUUCUCACACACUAAGACUGAAAAAAUUAGCAGAGCUGCUUCCCUCAGAUUUGGGAAGGGGGUUACUGGAACAAAUGAAGACUGAAUUGGCUAAUAGUUGUGAUGCUGUUUUUUUUUUCCUUUUGACUCUAGGAUACCCCAAAUGUUCCUUGCCUUUUAGAAAUAAUAGAAAGGAUUGUAUGUGAGAAAUACACCUAUUAUAUAUUUAAGAGAAAAUGUAAUUGAAUUUAUCUCAGUGGAGAAUCUACAGCAUUCCCUUUGUCCUUUUGUCAUGUUUCCCUGCCUACUUUUCCCAAACAAAGAGACAAUUAGCCUUAGUUUGCCAACCUUAUCGAUAUAUAUGAAAAAAGGAGGUUCCUCCUCCUCCUAUUUUUCUUUAGAAAGACAGCCAGUACAUUUCAACCUCUCCACCCUAUGCUGCAUACCAAAAGGAGCAGGGGAUAGCUUCAGAGAAAAUGUGUUAAAAUGAUAUCUAAUUUACCAUAUCUACAGUCAUUCUCUCUCUCCCACACAUGCAACUGGAUAGAAAUUAUUUGUCUUUCCUUUGUGUUUGAAAGCACAUUUAUUUUGAAAAUAUAAUUGUCACUAAAGAUGGAUCAAUAGAGAGACAGAGGUCUACUUUUAUUUAAUACACACCCCCAAUAUCAUAAAUUGUAUUAUUCCAUGACUUUGUAUGUCAAGAUCUGUGUAUUUGGACAAUAUUUGUGGUAAAUUACACACAUAUCCCCCAUCAUGAUUGUGGCGAUGUUUCUCUCCCUUCCCAUCCAUGUAUCUGUCUUCAUGAUUAAUGAUAUUCAUGUCAAUCAACUGAUUCUAACUCAGCUCUACACCCACACAACACAUUUCUCUCAACCCUCCCUGUCCCACCCCCAUGUAUUCCAAUGUGAUAGAAUCAUUAGUUAGAUAAAACUAAAUAAAAAUGUCUUUUGGAUUUAGACAUGGGGGGCAGGGAAUAAAAGGGAGAAAAAAUUGCAUGUGUCAAAUGAAGGGAAAACAUACCAAUUAAUUCUCUAGGUGGAGGAACAACAUAAAAAGACACUUAUUUGUCAUUUUUUAAAUAACUAUAACUUUUAGUAGAUAGAUGUACAUGAGUCCCUCUAGAAAUAUUCACAUGCUCUAUUCAGUUUCCUCUCUCUGUUCCUACCCCUCACUUUAAUUCAAGGCAGAUCAGAUGAUGGACUAGGGAACCUAUCUUCUAUUGCCUAUCUUCAAAGAAGAAAAAAAGUGAAAAAUAAAUGACAUAUUCUGUAUGUAUAUAUGUGUGGUGAGGAAGGAGAUGGCCCAGCACAGUGACUAUGUAGAAAGAGAGAAAAAAUAAAUGCAUUUCUAUAGCUAAACCCAAAAGCAAGAAUAAUAGAGAGUGAUAUGGGCUAUAGUUUGGGUCUAUGCCUUCAUAAUCUUGUCCAACUCACAAAGAAGGUAUGUGUUCAGAUGAUAGGAAAUUGGGGAGGCAGUUGAGAUGGUUCGGAAUUUCCAAGAAUGGAGGAUAGAACCAAGGUCUCCAGAGAAGAAAAAAAAAUCUGUACUUCUACCUACCUGCCUGUCAAAUUGUUCAGAGAAUAAGGUUUGUACCCUGCCUCCCACCAGCACCUCAUAUUAUUUCCAUAUUCAUUCUCCCAAUACUCCAUAUUGCCAUGAACUUAUCCAUUACUAGUCUGAGUGUGUUAACAUACUGCCCGCUCUUUUCCCCCAUAACCCUUGUUAGAAAUGGACUUUCCUUUCAUUUGUUGAAACAGACUGGGACAAAAUUUGCCCCCAUCAACCCCCUCACACACACUCUAGAAACACUAAAACCCAAAUCCCCAAGCAUAAAAGGGUCUUUCAAAUUCCAGGUUUUUCCAAAUCAUGUAGCACUCUAUCAUCUAGAAAAACGGCACCAAACUAUUCUUCUUUUGCCAAUCUAGGAGAGAUUCCUUCUCAUUCCAGCUCCCUUUGGGACCCUCUAUCACUGUGUGUGUGUGCGCGCGCAUGUGUAUAUGUAUGUGUGUAUGUAUGUGUGUGUGUCCUGGAAAAAUAAAACAAAUCAACCCUACAAAUUAAUGGUGUGUCCCUCACAGAGAUGACAUCUCCUCAUCUUCUUCAUCAUCACCCUUAUCCUUGCACAUACUCUAUGCAAAUUUUUUAUAAGCAUUGCAAUAAAUGCUCUGAAAUGACAAGGAACUAUUUUACCUUUCCUAUGACUACUACUACUCUCUCUUUCUGUAUACAGAAACUUUGUAUUCUUCAAAAGGAUGAAUUUCAACUGCAGUCUUGUACAAAAUUAUCUUAAUAAAAAAGUCAUGAUUGUUA
Sarcophilus harrisii (Tasmanian devil) is the source of this 6406-nucleotide long non-coding RNA. NCBI's taxonomy places the organism in Eukaryota, Metazoa, Chordata, Mammalia, Dasyuromorphia, Dasyuridae. The record is from Ensembl.